AAAUUUUACAACUUUAAUCUUGAGAUUGUUUAAUUGUUUUAUGAUUGCUUGGCCCUAAUCCUCUUCCGUAUAUCUUUAUGUGCCCAGUAUUAUUAUAUAACAACAAAAAUUAAAUUUUACUAUAAUAAAAUUAACCUUUUCAUAGGUCGUAUACAUUCCAACCCAGUUUUCCUCUGUGGGCUGUAGCAUUCUUAAUAAAACCCCAGUAUUUUCCCCUUUAACCAAUUUAGAAACUUUUACAUCACGGCUAUAUUUAAGGUGUAAGCGAAUGUGGUAUUAGUUUCCUGCUUUAUGGCGUAUAUAAGGGUUAGAGUGCAGAAUGAGAUCAUUAUCUCUAGAAAGCAUCCCUGCGAACAAGAACAUGAAACUGCUAAGUCUUCUCGUCACACUGCUUGCUCUUAGCUAUGUGAACUCGAACACCGCUAAAACCUUCUCUGAACUUCUGCACAGGCUUGAAAGACUUAAGAAGCAUCAGUUCAAUGCACUCAGUAUAUCAGAAGCAAUCCAAACACCUCGAGAUGUAAAGAAUGCAUGUGAGUGCAAGGACUUAUUUGCAGAACGCCUGAAGCACUUUCUGAAGUCAGUUAAAAGUGUAGUACCCAAAAUCCAGUUUGCCAACAUUUUGGACAACGUGCAGUCUUUCUCUCAUCCUGGAGUCAGCGCGAAUGACAACUGUAACUUCACAAAGCAUAACCUAAAAACAUUGACAUCAGACGAUUUGAAGAAGUUGAUUCAGGAUAACAUUCAUUUCAUCCAAAACUGGAAUGCACACUGCAAACCAAAUCAUUAAUAAUGCAAGUCACAAAAGUAACUAAACAGACGCCCUGCUAUAGAGAUGUAAAUUAUAUAUUUAUUUGUUCAAA
RNAcentral lists this long non-coding RNA (863 nucleotides) under Sinocyclocheilus grahami. RNAcentral describes it as "lncRNA (ENSSGRG00000022740.1)". The record is from RNAcentral. Lineage: Eukaryota; Metazoa; Chordata; Actinopteri; Cypriniformes; Cyprinidae.